Molecule: ribosomal RNA, 1689 nt
Filed under: Eulimnogammarus vittatus
Lineage: Eukaryota; Metazoa; Arthropoda; Malacostraca; Amphipoda; Eulimnogammaridae
Description: eukaryotic LSU rRNA
Rfam family: Eukaryotic large subunit ribosomal RNA
Source: RNAcentral
AAUUUACAUGCGAGUUUGCGAGUGAAAAACUCAUAAGCGAAAUGAAAGUGAGUACAAGAUGCCAACCGCAAGGGGCAGCAUCGGCCUUCCUUGAUAUUCUUUGAAGGGUAUGAGCAAGAGCAUGUAUGUUAAGACCCGAAAGAUGACGAUCUAUGCUUGAAUAGGGUGAAGCCAGGAGAAAUUCUGGUGGAGGCUCGAACAGAUACUGACGUGCAAAUCGUUCUGCGAAUUUGAGUAUAGGGGCGAAAAACCAAUCGAGUCUUCUAGUAGCUGGUUCCUUCUGAAGUUUCUCUCAGGAUAGCAAGGACAACAACGCAGUUUUAUUAGGUAAAGCUAAUGAUUAGAGGACUCAGGUGCUCAAUGUACCUGACCUAUUCUCAAACUUUAAAUUGGUAAGCCUUACGUUUACUUCAUUGAACGUGGGGACGAAAUGCGUGUUCUUAGUGGGCCAUUUUUGGUAAGCAGAACUGGCGAUGAGGGAUGCUCCUAAAGUUGAGUUAAGGCGCCUAAAUUGCAAUCAUCAGACACCAUGAAAGGCGUUGAUUCGUUGAGACAAUCGGAACGUGACCCUAACAGUAGGCACCGUUUAAAGACCGUUUUACCACCCACCGAUCUAACGAAUCAGCCCUAAAAAUGGAUGGCGCUAUAGUGCAAUGCCGAUACUCGACCUUCACAGCAAAAAGAAGUUGUGAAGAGUAAGAAGGCGUGGAAGUAGUGCAGAAGCCGAGACGAGAGUCUAGGUGGAACUGCUUCUAGUGCAGAUCUUGGUGGUAGUAGUAAUUAUUCAAAUGAGAACUUUGAAGACCGAAGUAGAGACGGGUUCCGUGAGAACAGCAAUUGGUCACGGGUUACUCGAUCCUAAGGCAAGGCGGAAACGUCGCGAAGCAGUGAUCCACUGUGGUGCCGAAAGGGAAUGAGGUUAAUAUUCCUCAAGUUUGCAAUGGAUGUUGUAUGGCAACAUAAACAAGCUCGGAGACAUCGGCGCGUACCCCUGGAAGAGUUUUCUUUUCUUCUUAACUCCUCAAAGCCAUGGAAUUGGAUUAUCCAGAGAUAUGGCCUUAAGGGAGGAAGAGCAGUCCAUUUUUCGGACUGGUGGUGCGUUCGUGACGAUCAAUGAAAAUCCGAGGGCGAUACUUAAUUCAUUCAAAAUCGUACCAUAACCGCAUCAGGUCUCUAAGGUUAGCAGCCUCUGGUCAACUAGAAGAAAGUCAUUUAGGGAAUUCGGCAAAAUAGAUUCGUAACUUCGGGAAAAGGAUUGGCUCUGAGGACUGGAUAUGAGACUACUUGUCGACUACGAUUGGAAGUUAGCUGAAAGCUUCGGUUUAAAGCCUACUGCUGAGACUAGGAGGCUUGGAGUUCUUGUAUAAACAUCAGUCAACUCAGAACUGAAGCGAACAAGGAGAAUCUAACUGUUUAAUAAAAACAAAGCUUUGUGAUGUCCAGAAAUGGUUUUGACACAAUGUGAUUUCUGCCCAGUGCUUUGAACGUUAACGUGAAGAAAUUUAACUAAGCGCAGGUAAACGGCAGGUGUAACUAUAACACUUUUAAGGUAGCCAAAUGCCUAGUCAAAGAAGUUUUGACGUGCAUGAAUGGAUUAAUGAGAUUCUCACUGUCCCAAAUGACCAUCUAACGAACCCACAGCCUAGGGAACGGGCUAGGCAAAAUCAGCGGGGAAAGAAGACCCUGUUG